Molecule: ribosomal RNA, 492 nt
Filed under: uncultured bacterium
Lineage: Bacteria
Description: partial 16S ribosomal RNA
Rfam family: Bacterial small subunit ribosomal RNA
Source: RNAcentral
AGUGAACGCUGGCGGUAGGCCUAACACAUGCAAGUCGAACGGCAGCACAGUAAGAGCUUGCUCUUACGGGUGGCGAGUGGCGGACGGGUGAGGAAUACAUCGGAAUCUACUUUUUCGUGGGGGAUAACGUAGGGAAACUUACGCUAAUACCGCAUACGACCUACGGGUUAAAGCAGGGGAUCUUCGGACCUUGCGCGAUUGAUUGAGCCGGUGUCGGAUUAGCUAGUUGGCGGGGUAAAGGCCCACCAAGGCGACGAUCCGUAGCUGGUCUGAGAGGAUGAUCAGCCACACUGGAACUGAGACACGGUCCAGACUACGACGGGAGGCAGCAGUGGGGAAUAUUGAACAAUGGGCGCAAGCCUGAUCCAGCCAUACCGCGUGGGUGAAGAAGGCCUUCGGGUUGUAAAGCCCUUUUGUUGGGAAAGAAAAGCAGCAGGUUAAUACCCCGCUGUUCUGACGGUACCCAAAGAAUAAGCACCGGCUAACUUCGUG